CGAGUGCGCUUGUGUGGCGGGGAUCAAAGGAAAACUAUGUGAAAACAUCAUCAACCAGUGUGCACUGAAGCCAUGUCUGAACGGAGGGACGUGUGACGGAAACGAAUCGGACUUCAAGUGCGCAUGCCCAGUUGAGUGGACUGGAGAGACAUGCGCAGAUAAAGUUAAUUUCUGUGACAGCGCCCCCUGUAACAGAGGAUAUUGUACAGCGGACCUCUUGACGGCAACUCGGUUCAAGUGUGACUGUGAUUUUGCGUGGGUAGGGGAGAGAUGCAACCAAAGUGUUGAUAUUAUCAACAUCACACUCCUGGGUGAGAUUGAUCAUACAAAUAGAGGUGACCUGGCUGAUGGCUUCAGCAGACUCAUCACAAAACUCGGGGGAAUUGCAGGAAAGGCGGCUGUCAAAUUUACAACGAACACACAGAACGAAAACAGUUAUACUACUACGCACGUACAACUCUACUCUGCUGUGGAAAACGGAUCCUUUCUAGACAGUGAUUCAUUAGCUAGAAUCUUCGAAUCUAACCCUGAUGAAAUCAUCAAUGAAUAUCUGCCUCUUCCAUUGUACCCUCCCCGUGAAGAAGACAAGACAACA
Molecule: long non-coding RNA, 595 nt
Organism: Haliotis rubra (blacklip abalone)
Lineage: Eukaryota; Metazoa; Mollusca; Gastropoda; Lepetellida; Haliotidae
Exons: 4
Source: RefSeq, a predicted model, not a curated record